GUCCACGCUGUAAACGAUGUGUGCUAGACGUUGGGGAGCCUAGCUCUUCGGUGUCGCAGCUAACGCGAUAAGCACACCGCCUGGGGAGUACGGCCGCAAGGUUAAAACUCAAAGGAAUUGACGGGGGCCCGCACAAGCGGUGGAGCAUGUGGUUUAAUUCGACGCAACGCGAAGAACCUUACCAGCCCUUGACAUGUCCCGUAUGGGUGGGGGAGACCCCAUUCUUCAGUUCGGCUGGCGGGAACACAGGUGCUGCAUGGCUGUCGU
Molecule: ribosomal RNA, 267 nt
Filed under: uncultured bacterium
Lineage: Bacteria
Description: partial 16S ribosomal RNA
Rfam family: Bacterial small subunit ribosomal RNA
Source: RNAcentral